UNGGAGAGGAAAGUGGAAUUCCUAGUGUAGCGGUGAAAUGCGUAGAUAUUAGGAAGAACACCAGUGGCGAAGGCGACUUUCUGGACGAAAACUGACGCUGAGGCGCGAAAGCCAGGGGAGCGAACGGGAUUAGAUACCCCGGUAGUCCUGGCCGUAAACGAUGGGUACUAGGUGUAGGAGGUAUCGACCCCUUCUGUGCCGGAGUUAACGCAAUAAGUACCCCGCCUGGGGAGUACGACCGCAAGGUUGAAACUCAAAGGAAUUGACGGGGGCCCGCACAAGCGGUGGAGUAUGUGGUUUAAUUCGACGCAACGCGAAGAACCUUACCAGGUCUUGACAUUGAUGGACAGAACCAGAGAUGGUUCCUCUUCUUCGGAAGCCAGAAAACAGGUGGUGCACGGUUGUCGUCAGCUCGUGUCGUGAGAUGUUGGGUUAANNNNNGCAACGAGCGCAACCCCUACCUUAUGUUGCCAGCACUUCGGGUGGGAACUCAUGAGAGACUGCCGCAGACAAUGCGGAGGAAGGCGGGGAUGACGUCAAAUCAUCAUGCCCCUUAUGACCUGGGCUACACACGUACUACAAUGGGAGUUAAUAGACGGAAGCGAGAUCGCGAGAUGGAGCAAACCCGAGAAACACUCUCUCAGUUCGGAUCGUAGGCUGCAACUCGCCUACGUGAAGUCGGAAUCGCUAGUAAUCGCAGGUCAGCAUACUGCGGUGAAUACGUUCCCGGGCCU
This 734-nucleotide ribosomal RNA is filed under the name uncultured bacterium. RNAcentral's name for it is "bacterial SSU rRNA". It matches the Rfam family "Bacterial small subunit ribosomal RNA", at positions 649 to 1381 of the family's 1533-position model. The record is from RNAcentral.